This 59-nucleotide non-coding RNA is filed under the name Clostridium intestinale. Its description in RNAcentral is "Fluoride sequence". It matches the Rfam family "Fluoride riboswitch aptamer (crcB RNA motif)". Lineage: Bacteria; Bacillati; Bacillota; Clostridia; Eubacteriales; Clostridiaceae. The record is from RNAcentral. RNAcentral also lists the same sequence under 1 other name.
AAAAAUAAAGGUGAUGGAGUUCACCAUAAUCGCUAAAUGCUAAUGACUCCUAUAAGUAA